This 253-nucleotide ribosomal RNA is filed under the name uncultured Bifidobacterium sp. RNAcentral's name for it is "partial 16S ribosomal RNA". It matches the Rfam family "Bacterial small subunit ribosomal RNA", at positions 524 to 776 of the family's 1533-position model. The record is from RNAcentral. Lineage: Bacteria; Bacillati; Actinomycetota; Actinomycetes; Bifidobacteriales; Bifidobacteriaceae.
UACGUAGGGGGCAAGCGUUGUUCGGAAUGACUGGGCGUAAAGGGUGCGUAGGCGGUUCGUCGCGUCCGGUGUGAAAGUCCAUCGCUUAACGGUGGAUCCGCGCCGGGUACGGGCGGGCUUGAGUGCGGUAGGGGAGACUGGAAUUCCCGGUGUAACGGUGGAAUGUGUAGAUAUCGGGAAGAACACCAAUGGCGAAGGCAGGUCUCUGGGCCGUUACUGACGCUGAGGAGCGAAAGCGUGGGGAGCGAACAGG